CCUACGGGAGACAGCAGUGAGGAAUAUUGGUCAAUGGGCGCGAGCCUGAACCAGCCAAGUAGCGUGAAGGAUGACUGCCCUACGGGUUGUAAACUUCUUUUAUAAAGGAAUAAAGUGAGGCACGUGUGCCUUUUUGUAUGUACUUUAUGAAUAAGGAUCGGCUAACGCCGUGCCAGCAGCCGCGGUAAUACGGAGGUUCCGAGCGUUAUCCGGCUUUAUUGGGUUUAAAGGGAGCGUAGAUGGGUUGUUAAGUCAGUUGUGAAAGUUUGCGGCUCAACCGUCAAUUGUCAAUGGAUACUGGCAGUCUUUACUACACUUCAGGCAGGCCGACUUCGUGGUGUAGCGGU
Molecule: ribosomal RNA, 347 nt
Filed under: uncultured bacterium
Lineage: Bacteria
Description: partial 16S ribosomal RNA
Rfam family: Bacterial small subunit ribosomal RNA
Source: RNAcentral